This 890-nucleotide ribosomal RNA is filed under the name uncultured bacterium. RNAcentral's name for it is "bacterial SSU rRNA". It matches the Rfam family "Bacterial small subunit ribosomal RNA", at positions 8 to 916 of the family's 1533-position model. The record is from RNAcentral.
AGAGUUUGAUCAUGGCUCAGGAUGAACGCUGGCGGCGUGCUUAAUACAUGCAAGUCGAACGGAGAUAGUAGCAAUAUUAUCUUAGUGGCGAACGGGUGAGUAACGCGUUGGUGACCUGCCCCGAAGAGAGGGAUAGCAGUUCGAAAGGACUGAUAAUACCUCAUGUGGUUGUUGGUUUUAGAAUCUGACAACUAAACGGAUUUAUUCGCUUCGGGAGGGGCCUGCGUCCCAUCAGCUAGUUGGUAGGGUAAUGGCCUACCAAGGCGAUGACGGGUAGGGGACCUGAGAGGGUGGCCCCCCACAAUGGAACUGAAACACGGUCCAUACACCUACGGGUGGCAGCAGUAGGGAAUAUUGGUAAUGUGCGAAAGCGCGAACCAGCAACGCCGCGUGCACGAUGAAGGCCUUCGGGUCGUAAAGUGCUUUUAGAGAGGAUGAGGAAGGACAGUACUUUCUGAAUAAGCCUCGGCUAACUACGUGCCAGCAGCCGCGGUAAAACGUAGGAGGCUAGCGUUAUCCGGAUUUACUGGGCGUAAAGCGCGUGCAGGUGGUCUUGUAAGUUGGAUGUGAAAGCUCCUGGCUUAACUGGGAGAGGUCGUUCAAAACUGCGAGACUUGAGAUUGGUAGAGGGAGGUGGAAUUCCGGGUGUAGUGGUGAAAUGCGUAGAUAUCCGGAGGAACACCAGUGGCGAAAGCGGCCUCCUGGACCAAUUCUGACACUCAGACGCGAAAGCUAAGGUAGCAAACGGGAUUAGAGACCCCGGUAGUCUUAGCUGUAAACGGUGUGAACUUGGCGUCGGUGGGUUUAAAUCCAUCGGUGCCGAAGCUAACGCGAUAAGUUCACCGCCUGGGGACUACGGCCGCAAGGUUAAAACUCAAAGGAAUUGACGG